AAGAGGCGAGAACGACCCCUGGACAGACCAACACCUGCGUGCCGCGCUGCAUCCCGCACCCAGCGCCUAUGUCCCCCCGCCGUUGCCGCCACCACAGUGCCCAAGAGAAAGGCUGAAGGUGAUGCUAAAGCAGAUAGAGCCAAGAUGAAGGACAAACCACAGAGAAGAUCCACGAGGUUUUCUACUAAACCUGCUCCUCCAAAGCCGGAGCCCAAACCUAAAAAGGCCCCUGCAAAGAAGGGAGAGAAGGUACCAAAAGGGAAAAGGGAAAAGCUGAGGCUGGCCAGGAGGGGAAUAACCCUGCAGAAAAUGGAGAUGCCCAAACAGACCAGACACAGAAAGCUGAAGGUGCUGCAGAUGCCAAGUGAAGUGUGUGCAUUUUUGAUAACUGUGUACUUCUGGUGA
RNAcentral lists this long non-coding RNA (405 nucleotides) under Homo sapiens (human). RNAcentral describes it as "non-protein coding lnc-AAGAB-1:35". Lineage: Eukaryota; Metazoa; Chordata; Mammalia; Primates; Hominidae. The record is from RNAcentral.